CAAAAUGUAAAGGAAUGCAAGCAAUAUAAUCAGAAAUGCUGAGUUUGUUAUUCUAUUUCCUCUACAGGACCUAAGGAAAGGAGCACGAAAUUGUUAUGAGCAGAAAUUCUACUCAUAAGAUCCUAGCGUUCGAGGUCUAGGUAUCUCCAGAAAAGGGAGAUUAAGGAGAUGAAUUUUCUGAUUAGUUUCUGAUAUCCAAAACGAAACAAAAGCCAUGACUGUACUCAGAAAGCACAUCACCUAUCUAUUUUAUGCCUUUCUUCUUUUCUCUGUUUGGGAAUCGACAAUGAGCAUUCUCGAUCACCAAGCUCCUUUUCUGGUCGCUUCUCCCACUCAGCUUCAUUGUGCUCUUCUUCUUGGGAUCUCCCCCGCCUCUCCCUCUGCCUCUGGAGACAAGAUCAGUGCUUGAUUUUCUCGCCAAACUGGAAGCUAAAGAGGAUUGUGAAUCGUGAUGUGAAGAUUUAGGAAGUGCCUCACAAAUCACAAUGGCGUCUAUCAUACUAUUAUGGCCGAUGCAAUAAGCGCUCAGUUUAUUCGUUUGUAGUCUGUCUCUUCUCUUUUUAUUGUCGGACGCUGCCAAAAAAAAAUUGUAGGAACUGGUUAUUCAUAGAUAAAAUUAGAAAUAGAAAAUCUUUAUCGCUGUGCUGUGUAAUAUUGUGUUCUUAAAUAAUAAUAUUUCUUCA
Molecule: long non-coding RNA, 683 nt
Organism: Glycine soja
Lineage: Eukaryota; Viridiplantae; Streptophyta; Magnoliopsida; Fabales; Fabaceae
Exons: 2
Source: RefSeq, a predicted model, not a curated record